This 368-nucleotide RNase P RNA is filed under the name Chlamydiia bacterium. RNAcentral describes it as "RNase P RNA component class A". It matches the Rfam family "Bacterial RNase P class A". Rfam says of the family: Ribonuclease P (RNase P) is a ubiquitous endoribonuclease, found in archaea, bacteria and eukarya as well as chloroplasts and mitochondria. Its best characterised activity is the generation of mature 5'-ends of tRNAs by cleaving the 5'-leader elements of precursor-tRNAs. Lineage: Bacteria; Pseudomonadati; Chlamydiota; Chlamydiia. The record is from RNAcentral.
UUGGAAAAAGAUGCAAUCGCUGCUGCAUAAAACCUUGUUUUUGCAGGAGAGGAAAGUCUGGACUUCAGAGAAAAAGGUGCCAGCGAAAUGCUGGGGGCCGUAAGGCUACGGAAAGUGUAACAGAAAAUAGACCGCUAACGAGUCAUCGUUAGACAGGAUGAAAAAGCUGAGCUAGUGGCUUAGCCCCACAUGCAGAAAUGCUAGGGAGAUACAAACCCCACCUGAAGCAAGAAAAAAAGCUCGAACUGUUUUUCGCAAGGGAGCUUUUUUAAGGUCGCUUGAGAGUUUUAGCAAUAAAACUCCUAGAUGAAUGAUUGCAGCCUGCAACAUGCAGGUGACAGAAUCCGGCUUACUCUUUUUCCGAGAUU